GACAAUUUAAAUUGUUGACAAUCUGGUCAAGGCAAAAAAUAUUCAAAGCUGGACAGGAAAAGACAAAAAUGUCGAACUCGAAUUACGUUAAAAGACAUUUUUCAAAAUAUUACUUUAACAAGUGAAUGGGAAACCAAAUGACUUUUCAGUUAGCUUCUUUCAAGGGAAACCCUUGAAUGGACAAAAUGUUGGAUAUGAGAGCAAAUUGUUGAUUAACCUUUGGUAAAACAUUUCAAUUGUUUCCAUUCUGGUAUUCAUUUUCUGUUUUCGAUCAUCAUGAUGAUUGAAUCAUUGAUAAUUCGCCUCUUUUACUCGAAAUAAUGUUCAACUCUUUUCUUUCCUCACGUUAAGUUCGGAAGUUGCUCAGAUAAUUUUAAUGUUUCCAUUCAUUUCCUUUUUCAUUAUUUGAAAACUUUGCCUUCCGUUGCUCCUUUAAUGGGUAAAACAUAUUAUUAUUAUUAUCCAAUGUUUAUCAUUAUGACCUUUAAGAAUCUGUUCAACUGUCUUUUCAAAUGGAAAUGCCAUUUCAAUUCAAGAUUUAACCGGAAAUUUACAUCAAUCAUAUUUUUGAUGAGAAAAUAAGAGUUGAGAAAAAAUGUUCCAAACACAAUUUCGAAUUGACUUUCGUUUUGACUUUAUUCAACCCAAUCGAAUGUUUUUUUUCUUCAAUUCAUUAGAUGCGUUUGAAUCAUCCAAUGGAUGCAAUAAUUGGAAAGACAAUUGGAUCAAAGUGUAAUCAUUGUCGGUUUGCAUUAUGAUAAUCUGCGUCUUUACGGUCAAUUUGAGUAAAAAAAACUAUCAUUUCACUUUAAAGGAUAACAAAUUUAAGCCCAAUUUGAUUUUACUGAAUAUAUAAGCACUUACUAAAUAUUAAUUUAUUUUGAUCACCUGAACCAAUGGCCUUAUCCAUGUAUACCUAUGCUAAUUUCAAAACAAAUACAAUAAAAUUUAACUCGAGCUGACAUUUAAAUAACCUUCAAGAUACCAGCUAAGGUGAGUAAAGAGUAAAAGUUGAUUUGAUCAUUCGCAGGUGAAUUACAUCGUAUCAUAAUCUUUAACUUUUACAGUGUUAGCUGAAUUCAAAGAAUGAGUUUCUAUUGUCAUCAAUAAUGAUAUUUAUUCAGAUGUAAAUUAAUAAGUAAAAAUGAGUAACCAAGCAAUUAAGAGUCGGUUACCAAAAUGCUUCAAUACAAGGAAGGAUAUCAGUUCAAGUUUCAAGCUUGUCAAGUUUUUCAUUAUUUCGAUUACCUAAAACUACAAAAAUAAGUCGAAAUGCAAUUGACAAAAAUCGUUUCUCUCAUCUUGCUAAUUGCUCUAUUCACUUUCAUUGGUUUAAAAAUGGUCCGCGCACAAGAGACAGCUCUAGGUGCUUUAGGUGGAGCUCUUACCGGUGCGAUUGGAAAUGAAAUCGAUAUGGUUGGAGAUGAAAUCGGUAUGGCUGGAGAUGAACCUCUUGUGUUCGGAGAACCUGAGUAUUCUUAAUGAUGUAAAUCAUAAAUAAACUAUGAAAAACUAACCAUAGUGGAUUGGACAGUAUAUUUUCUGACUAUUAAAGAUAGCUUAUUAUACAAAAAAUAAAAUAGGAUAAAUCACAAA
Molecule: non-coding RNA, 1596 nt
Organism: Tetranychus urticae (two-spotted spider mite)
Lineage: Eukaryota; Metazoa; Arthropoda; Arachnida; Trombidiformes; Tetranychidae
Source: RefSeq, a predicted model, not a curated record